Molecule: long non-coding RNA, 981 nt
Filed under: Helianthus annuus (common sunflower)
Lineage: Eukaryota; Viridiplantae; Streptophyta; Magnoliopsida; Asterales; Asteraceae
Description: hypothetical non coding rna
Source: RNAcentral
UACCACCAAGUUCAUGGAGAUUUACUUUUAGAGGUGACUAGGUACAUGCAAUAGACAUGUUGAACUGAAAACUGAAAUAUAACAACCUAGAAAAGCUGAUACUCGUUACAUGAAAUACGGGGUAAUUAAAAGUUGAAACGCAUACCAAAUGCCAAGUGAGGUACGUUAGAAAUCAAUAUCAUCAUGAAAUCAAGUCCUUUGCAUGUAUGCUUCAAGCCUUCUCUUCUCACCUUUGUCAUAAAUCAUAUCAUUUGGCUGAUCUAGCAGAAGUAAUGUUUCCAUGUAGUAACGCAUAAAAGUUGGAACAUGCUCUGUUCCCUUUAUCCCAAGAUUAGUGAUGCGUUUUGUGAAGGGUUCAUAAAGAACAAGUGAUAUAUCAUCAUCAAAUGAUUCACAAUCAUCGUCUAAAAUUACAACUAAUUCACCACUCUUCCUAAACGCAUGUACUGCUAUUAUAUAUGCAUGUGGUGUGUUAAUAGUGAAUAGCUUUGUAAAGCUUCUUUCUGGAACACCACCACCACCACCACCAUCAUCAUCAUCAUCAUCAUCAUCAUCAUCCAUCCUCCAUACAAUGGUAGCAUCUCCAACCUCAUUGCGUUCAAGCACAACUAGCGACUCCCAUAGCUUAGACACGGACAAGCUAUACUCACCUUGGUAGUCUUCUAAAUGAGGUGGGAGGUAUAUUUCUUGAAACUCUUCACUUGUCAAAUCAAACGAAACAAUCAGAUUAGAAGACUCAAUUCCAGCAUCUGUCUUAAUCCUAUCAGUAGCAACCGAAUACAAAACUCCAUCUAUAACUAUGCUAUAAAAGUCCGAAAACUGAAUUGAUUUACGAGGAAGAUUGCUGCUGCCGCCAUAUGGACUUCUCCAAGCCCCUGUGCUAAGCGUAAAAACCUCAACCUGAUGAGGGAUGGAAGUUAUACUUUCAAUAUCACCAAACCACCUGUAGGGAUUAACAUAAUUGAUCUUGACAAUCUUAGG